UAAUACAGAGGGGGCAAGCGUUGUCCGGAUUUACUGGGCGUACAGCGCGCGCAGGCGGACCAGGACGUGCCGUGUGACAAGCCACCGCUCACCGGUGGAGGGCCACGGUACACGACUGGUCUGGAGGCAGGGAGAGGGAUGUGGAAUGCCCGGUGGAGCGGUGAAAUGCGUAGAGAUCGGGCGGAACACCAGCGGCGAAGGCGGCAUCCUGGUCCUGUACUGACGCUGAGGCGCGAGAGCGUGGGGAGCGAACUGGAUUAGAUACCCAGGUAGUCCACGCCGUAAACGAUGUGUACCCGGCGCUGGGAAGUGAUUGCGCUUCUCGGUGCCUCAGCUUACGCAGUGAGUACACCGCCUGGGGACUACGGCCGCAAGGCUA
Molecule: ribosomal RNA, 379 nt
Filed under: uncultured bacterium
Lineage: Bacteria
Description: bacterial SSU rRNA
Rfam family: Bacterial small subunit ribosomal RNA
Source: RNAcentral